CAAGAUCAACACAAAUGGCAUACCCUUUUUUUCAGCAACCAGAUACCCCAGUGUAAUCAGUCAUCCAAGGAUAUCAUAAAAACACAGCUCAUUGAUUAUGUUUUCAUAUGGGUUGUUGAGGGGAAAUCCAACUGGCUCCUCUUUAUGUCAUUUUAAUGCCACUCAGCAACAUUCUCAAGUCCUCUGAAAACACCAGAUCAUAGGUAUAGAUAUCAUAGGUAUAGAUAGCACAGCUACUGCCGUUCUGGGACAGCAUGUCCCAAGUCAUUCGAAGACUGGUCAUACCUGAAGAAUUGACCAUUUCCAAGAGGUAAUCCCACUACAGUUUGUCACUACUACACAGGUAGAACAACUGUUCUCCAGUCUCUUCAAAAGCCUUGUAAACAGUAGGGCAUCUGACUACUAUGUCCAUGUUGAGUACUGCCAUCAUGUCCAUAAGAGUAUAGCAGUCCUCUCAGUAGGCUCAUUCAAUGAGAAUUAAAACAGUAGUUAGUAGGGAAUUUAUCUUAAAACAACUCAUUUAAUUUACCUGCUUAAAUAAAAGUACAAUCAUUAGCUAGAUAAAAUCCCAAAGCAGUCAAACCAUUCAGAUUUCCCAAAGAUGUAUCAUCCUUUCUGUUUAGACAAUGUUUAAAGCGCUGAUAUGUUACAUUUCAUUUUUAAAACAAAAAACAGCAGAAACGCAUGAGUGAAUGACCCCUGUGUUUUUAGUGAACACUGCAACAAGUAUGCCUUGAGGUAGUGUCACGUUCGUUCCCUCUCUCAGCAUGAUGUCACUGGGGUUCCAUUUUCUACCUCACCAACCCCAGGCAGUUGUAGUGUAAGGAAUCUUUAGGUCAGAAGACUAGAGGAAAUUGCAUUUAAAACACUGCAAUAUUUAAAAGAAAAGUGAUAAUUAAUACAAAGCAAAAAAAUAUUUAAAAAUGUUAUCAAACAGAAAAUUGCAAUUUUCAUGUUUUCCAUAAUGUCACUGAACUGUUUUGAAAUAGUGUUUAUGGUGGAAAUUCCCAAUUCUUUAUUACCAAGUGUAAUUUUGGACUUUACAAAACUGUAUGAGAUGACCAAUGACAUCAAAAGAUAACUUAUACAGAACUGACAAUGUCUGAAAUGUUUAGUCUGGCAUAAGAUUUUCACAGUAGCUCUGAAGUUUGUAUGUGAAUUUACUUUUGAUAAGAUGUCUUGAAUUAAAAAUGUUAGGCUUUAUCAUCUCCCACUAGUAUCAGCCUUGCAGUGGAACAAACUGUCUCCCUUUGUCAACACAAACUCCUCUCUCAAUCACAAAGUGCCUCCACAAACUGCUUGCUAUUUAUACAGAUAGAGGUUAUCACAAGAGCAGUUCAAGUAAUUACUCUUAAAAAGCUUUAAAAAAAAAAAAUCACACCUUGAGUGUAAAACCUAGAAAAUGUAUCUAGCAAUGUGUGCAAAUCAUGUCAACAGCACUCUUCUCUCCUUCUUUGGUCCCUCUGGGCCACAUUUCAAUCGGACCCUUUAAGAGGUCAAAGGUCAGGGUUGACCUCACUACCAAAUAUUUUUAUAACUAACCCAAGAUAGACCAGAGCCUGUCUUUUCCAAUGGGAGCAAAUUAAUCAUACUGGGCAGAACAAACAAGGAGGUGGGCAGAGCCAAGCACGAGCUAGUGAGAUCUUAUUAGCGCUUUAUAGAAUUUAUUUUAAUAUUUCCGUUAGGGAACGCCUACUAUGAAGUGCGUGUGCAAUAACAAUUCGCCUUUGCACUCCAAAACAACGGCAUCUUCAAAACUUUGGCAAAGGGUAAAGUCUACAAAGUGUAGUCCACUCGGUUUGUUACCGAUUCUAGUUAUGGAAGCAGAAAACUGUAUGGACAUCAAAUGUUUAAUCAAUGAGAAAAGUAGCAGAAUGUUGGCCAAAAUCCAUCUCACUCCAUCUUCUCCCGCUGACGACCACUUGGCUUUCUCUCAUAACCAUAUUUGGUAGUGAGUGGAAACACCAACCAGAUGCUUCACAUUUAUACAUCCGGUGAAAUAUCUGUCUCAUUGUUCUGUGUUACUACACUCUAAUAGGAUGAGGGUGCAGGUUGGCCACAAGUAGAUAAUUAUUCUUCUGGUUUAGAAGCCCACAAAUACAGAAUGUUUUUUUUUAAAUUACAAAAAUAUUAUCAUGAAAUGGCAUGGGGGUGAAGAAAAAAAACAUUUCAAAUUAGCAUUACCCAAAAACACUAUCAAAUAUUUCUGCUACAAAAAAAAGUGAGGUUGGUGGAAGAGCCGGAGGGAGGGAGAUAAAGAGAAUAUUUUACCUCCAUACUGCCUUCCAACCAGUAAUGGAGGAUUCACGGAUCAGGAAGUGGAGUCUAUCAGUCAGUGCAAGGUGGUAGAUGUGGAGGCAACGUGGGGGGAUGAAGGACUAUCUGAGGGGAAGAAAAGGGUGGUGGAGUGGAGAACUAUCAGAGGGGAAGAAGAGGGUGCGGAGAACUAUCGGAGGGGAAGAAAAGGGUGGUGGAGCGGAGAACUAUUGGAGGAGAAGAAAAGGGUGGUAGAGCGGAGAA
Molecule: long non-coding RNA, 2520 nt
Organism: Oncorhynchus tshawytscha (Chinook salmon)
Lineage: Eukaryota; Metazoa; Chordata; Actinopteri; Salmoniformes; Salmonidae
Source: Ensembl